RNAcentral lists this ribosomal RNA (373 nucleotides) under uncultured bacterium. Its description in RNAcentral is "bacterial SSU rRNA". It matches the Rfam family "Bacterial small subunit ribosomal RNA", at positions 525 to 896 of the family's 1533-position model. The record is from RNAcentral.
ACAGAGGUGGCGAGCGUUGUUCGGAUUUAUUGGGCGUAAAGAGCGCGUAGGCGGUCCUGUAAGUCGGUGGUGAAAUCCCGGGGCUUAACCCCGGAAUUGCCCUCGAUACUGCUGGACUUGAGUGCGGGAGAGGAUAGUGGAAUUCCUAGUGUAGAGGUGAAAUUCGUAGAUAUUAGGAAGAACACCAGUGGCGAAGGCAGCUAUCUGGACCGCAACUGACGCUGAGGCGCGAAAGCGUGGGGAGCAAACAGGAUUAGAUACCCUGGUAGUCCACGCCCUAAACGAUGGACACUAGGUGUGGGAGGUAUCGACCCCUUCCGUGCCGUAGCAAACGCAUUAAGUGUCCCGCCUGGGGAGUACGGUCGCAAGAUUA